RNAcentral lists this ribosomal RNA (253 nucleotides) under uncultured bacterium. RNAcentral describes it as "partial 16S ribosomal RNA". It matches the Rfam family "Bacterial small subunit ribosomal RNA", at positions 524 to 776 of the family's 1533-position model. The record is from RNAcentral.
UACGUAGGGGGCAAGCGUUGUCCGGAAUCAUUGGGCGUAAAGAGCGUGUAGGCGGCCCGAUAAGUCCGCUGUGAAAGUCCAGGGCUCAACCCUGGAAUGCCGGUGGAUACUGUCGGGCUCGAGUCCGGAAGAGGUGAGUGGAAUUCCUGGUGUAGCGGUGAAAUGCGCAGAUAUCAGGAGGAACACCAAUGGCGAAGGCAGCUCGCUGGGACGGUACUGACGCUGAGACGCGAAAGCGUGGGGAGCAAACAGG